AUACCAUGCGAUUCUCCUAUCCGCUGGCAAGUCAUGACAACGGAUGCUGCUCCGCCCCUCAUAACAGAUUCCACGUAGCGGGCCGCGGUGAUGGCCACGUGUCUGCUCCACCAUCUUUCGCAAUCAAUUCCCCUGACCAUGGGCGGCCCACUACCAGGCGGUUGCAAACGUCGCCAUCAAUCCGUUGCCUCCUCCGCCUAUAAAAGGGGGACCCAGAUACGUUAUUCUUUAAGCUCAUUUUUUCCUAUCU
RNAcentral lists this long non-coding RNA (250 nucleotides) under Elaeis guineensis (African oil palm). Its description in RNAcentral is "long non-coding RNA (EGUI_LNC070197)". The record is from RNAcentral. Lineage: Eukaryota; Viridiplantae; Streptophyta; Magnoliopsida; Arecales; Arecaceae.